This 423-nucleotide ribosomal RNA is filed under the name uncultured bacterium. Its description in RNAcentral is "bacterial LSU rRNA". It matches the Rfam family "Bacterial large subunit ribosomal RNA", at positions 948 to 1376 of the family's 2925-position model. The record is from RNAcentral.
AGCAAACUCUGAAUACCGUAGAGUGCGAGCUUGGGAGACAGACAUCGGGUGCUAACGUCCGGUGUCAAGAGGGAAACAACCCAGACCGCCGAUUAAGGUCCCAAAGACAUAGUUAAGUGGGAAACGAGGUGGGAAGGCUCAGACAGCCAGGAGGUUGGCUUAGAAGCAGCCAUCCUUUUAAAGAAAAGCGUAAUAGCUCACUGGUCGAGUCGUCCUGCGCGGAAGAUGUAACGGGGCUCAAACUAUGCACCGAAAUCGCGGAUAUCCUUUGGAUAUGGUAGGAGAGCGUUCUGUAGGCCGUUGAAGGUGUCUCGUGAGGGAUGCUGGAGGGUAUCAGAAGUGCGAAUGCUGACAUGAGUAGCGAUAAGGGAGUGAAAGCUCCUCGCCGAAGCCCAAGGUUCCUGCGCAACGUUCAUCGGCGCA